This 479-nucleotide long non-coding RNA is filed under the name Homo sapiens (human). RNAcentral's name for it is "HSALNT0246268". The record is from RNAcentral. Lineage: Eukaryota; Metazoa; Chordata; Mammalia; Primates; Hominidae.
AGGGCAUCUUUGGGAGGCCAAAAUGGGCAGAUCCCCUGAGCUCAGAAGUUUGGGACCAGCCUGGGUAACAUUGUGAGACCCCAACUCUACAAAAACAUACAAAAAUUAGCCAGGUAUGAUGGUGCACGCCCAUAGCACCAGCUACUUGGAAGGCUGAGGUAGAAGACUGGUUUGAGCCCAGGAGGCCCAGGUUAGUAAGCCAAGAUCGUGCCACUGCACUCCAGUCUGAAUGACAGAGCCAGAUCCUGUGUCUGAGACCCUCAACCCCAGCCUCACCGUCUUGUUCCCUUCCCCCCACACCGGUUUUGGUUCCUCCUACUUCCCCAAUUCCUUCAUCCAAAUGCACAGCGAGGACCCUGGCUCCUCCCCAAAAGGCCUUGGCCCGGUCCUCCUUAGGGGGUGCAGGGGGUCCUGCUGGUCUGGACAGCAAGGCAGCCAGCGGGCAGGGAUAAUACCCCUCCCCUGGCCCAGGAGAGGGG